UGGGGAAUCUUCCGCAAUGGACGAAAGUCUGACGGAGCAACGCCGCGUGAGUGAUGACGGUCUUCGGAUUGUAAAGCUCUGUUAAUCGGGACGAAUGGUUUGUGUGCAAAUAGUGCAUAGACAUGACGGUACCGGAAUAGAAAGCCACGGCUAACUACGUGCCAGCAGCCGCGGUAAUACGUAGGUGGCAAGCGUUGUCCGGAUUUAUUGGGCGUAAAGCGAGCGCAGGCGGUCAAUUAAGUCUGAUGUGAAAGCCCCCGGCUCAACCGGGGAGGGUCAUUGGAAACUGGUUGACUUGAGUGCAGAAGAGGAGAGUGGAAUUCCAUGUGUAGCGGUGAAAUGCGUAGAUAUAUGGAGGAACACCAGUGGCGAAGGCGACUCUCUGGUCUGUAACUGACGCUGAGGUUCGAAAGCGUGGGUAGCAAACAGG
Molecule: ribosomal RNA, 430 nt
Filed under: Bacteroidota bacterium
Lineage: Bacteria; Pseudomonadati; Bacteroidota
Description: Bacteroidetes bacterium partial 16S ribosomal RNA
Rfam family: Bacterial small subunit ribosomal RNA
Source: RNAcentral